ACAACUGGUAAACUUUGACCCAGAAGUCACAUUCUUACAUUGUGAGAUAAAUCCAAUUAAUUGACAGGGAAUUUCACUCUAAAUUUUCUUGAGGGAAGGGGGUCAUCUUCUCACACACUAAAAGUAUCUUGGAAGAGCUUCAGGAUAACCUUUUACCAAUGAGCAAAUCAAUAGGACCCAUCCUUCAGAACCAUCUACUGAGGGUGGCCCCACCUCUCAGAGUCCAAAGGCAAAUUUCCAUAUCUGGCUCCAGCAGAGUGAUGGGUACACAAUUGGUAAUCAUUCUGGGACUUACCUUUAUAGCAAUUAUGUUAAGGAACUGAGGGCUGAAUGGUUUCCACGAUCAGCGGAAAAUAUAACAGACCAAGAAAUUAAUAAGAAAUAAAGAAAUUAGCUAAA
This is a long non-coding RNA of Acinonyx jubatus (cheetah), 399 nucleotides long. RefSeq lists it as uncharacterized. The transcript has 2 exons. Lineage: Eukaryota; Metazoa; Chordata; Mammalia; Carnivora; Felidae. The record is from RefSeq and is a predicted model, not a curated record.